Vigna angularis (adzuki bean) is the source of this 656-nucleotide long non-coding RNA. RefSeq lists it as uncharacterized. The transcript is spliced from 5 exons. Lineage: Eukaryota; Viridiplantae; Streptophyta; Magnoliopsida; Fabales; Fabaceae. The record is from RefSeq and is a predicted model, not a curated record.
GUUAUGACCAAUGAUAUCUCGGGUGUGAACCUUGAAGAAGUAGUCCCUUGCAUUGCACUCUCAAAAAAUGACUUGUACGUUUUGUCUGCCUGUGGUGGGAAGGUUUCCCUAUUUAACAUGAUGACAUUCAAGGUAAUGACAACAUUCAUGCCACCACCUCCUGCUUCUACCUUCCUAGCUUUCCAUCCCCAGGAUAACAACAUUAUUGCGAUUGGGAUGGAGGAUUCUACCAUUCACAUCUAUAGUGUCAGAGUGGAUGAGGGUCACCAGAAGCGUAUCACUGGUUUCAUCUGGUGUUGAUGCUCAACAUUGAUACAUGGGAGAAAAGAAAAUCAAUUCCAAUGCAACUACCUGCAGGAAAGUCACCUGUUGGUGACACACGCGUAUAGUUUCAUUCUGAUCAACUUCGUUUGUUGGUAAUUCAUGAGACUCAGUUGGCAAUAUAUGAUGCCUCUAAGAUGGAACGCAUUCGGCAGUGGGUUCCCCAAGAUGUUCUGCAAAUAUUCAGUAUGUAAGAGGAUUUGAAGUUGUGGAUGAGAUCAAGCAAGUUGUGGACUAAUCAUGUGGAAAACCAGUCGUUUCAUGUGCAGACAUAUUGGCUAUUGUCGCUCGUGAUUCUGUUUUUUGCGAUGAGUAAUUAAUGGAUUCAUUAUUAC